GCAGACACAUUCCAGCCAAUCGGCAGCAGACCCUCCCUCCAGACCCUUCCACCUCCUGGACAGCAUCCAUUUUGAAGCUGCAUUCUUAGUGAGCUGUCCAGGAGGUGGGAGGGUCUGGGAGGGAGGGUCUGCUGCUGAUUGGCUGGAAUGUGUCUG
Non-coding RNA from Pelobates cultripes (western spadefoot toad), 156 nucleotides. Lineage: Eukaryota; Metazoa; Chordata; Amphibia; Anura; Pelobatidae. The record is from the annotation of a GenBank genome assembly.